Molecule: RNA transcript, 2602 nt
Organism: Ipomoea nil (Japanese morning glory)
Lineage: Eukaryota; Viridiplantae; Streptophyta; Magnoliopsida; Solanales; Convolvulaceae
Gene name: pentatricopeptide repeat-containing protein At3g18020
Exons: 4
Source: RefSeq, a predicted model, not a curated record
GGUUUGCGACCUGGCGGAAAAUCGACUCCCAUGAGAUCCGGCGCCGGUGAUCGCCGGCCAGCUUCCUCGUUGGUCAUAAAACGGUAAUUAUUAUUCAUUUAUACGUGAAGUAGGCAACAUAACACACACAAAUGUGUUUCCGCAAAUUCUCGUCAACAUCGUCUUCCAUCCAAUCCGCCAUAGCCUGCUGCAUUCGAUCUCUUUCCAGCUCCCCACUCCCGUGCAUCUUCCGAACCCAGCACUUCCACACCACCAACCAUGUCAAAGAAGCAGAAGAAGAACAGCAAGGCCGGGAACUCGAAAUUGAUCAACACACUGUUACAAACAGAGCCUACUGGACUAGGAAAAUCCACAAGCUCUGCGCUUUUGACCGCAAUGUCGACGAAGCUCUUCGCCUCUUCGAUCAACUCCGUCUCUACGGCUACUGCCCCGAUUCCCUCAAUCUUAGCAGCGUUAUUCAUGCUCUGUGUGAUGCCCGCCGCUUCCCCGAAGCUCACCGGCGGUUCUUUCUUGCUGUUUCCGCUCAUUCUAACGUGAAUGAGAGGACUUGCAAUGUUAUCAUUGCUCGCUUGCUCGAUUCGCGGAGCCCUGAAUCAACCCUGCAUGUUAUUCGCGCUUUAUUUCGCGAAAAACCUGAGUUUGUACCUUCUUUGAUGAACUACAACCGUUUGAUGGAUCAAUUUUGCGCUUUAUCAAGGCCUAGAGAUGCGCACCAGGUGUUCCUUGAAAUGAGAAACAAAGGGCACUGUCCCAAUGUUGUUUCAUACACGACUCUGAUCAAUGGUUACUGUGGAGUCGGGGAAAUUGGUGACGCUUGGAAUCUGUUCGAUGAAAUGUCUGAGUGUGGAGUGAGUGCUAAUGCAUUUACCUACAGUAUUUUAAUUCGCGGGGUACUUAGAAAGAGGGACAUUGAGAAGGGAAAAGCAUUGAUUGGGAAUCUUUGGGAGGUAAUGAUUGGUGAGGAGGAUAUGCAUGUUAAUACUGCAGCAUUUUCUAACGUGAUUGAUUGUCUAUGUAGAGAAGGGUUGUUCCAUGAAGUUUUUAGGAUUGCAGAAGAUAUGCCUCAAGGAAAGUGUGUAGUUGAAGAGUUUGCUUAUAGUCAAAUGAUUGAUUCACUUUGUAGGUAUGGGAGGUACAAUGGGGGUGCUAGAAUCGUUUAUAUAAUGAAAAAGAGAGGAUUCAAGCCAAGCUUAGUAGCGUAUAAUACAAUCGUACAUGGAAUUUGCAGAGAAUGUGACUGUUUCAGGGCUUAUCAACUAUUAGAAGAAGGGAUUCAGUUUGGAUACUCUCCCUCUGAGUUCACCUACAAUCUCUUGAUAGAGGGUCUUUGUUCUGUAUCUGAUCUUGACAAGGCCAAGAACGUUCUGAAUAUCAUGCUAAAUAAGAAAGUUGUAGAUAGAACUAGGAUUUACAAUAUAUAUCUGAGAGCUAUUUGUCAUACUGAUAAUCCAACCGAGCUGCUGAACACACUUGUUACCAUGCUUCAAACACAAUGCCAACCUGAUCUUAUAACCCUUAAUACCGUGAUCAAUGGUUUCUGCAAAAUGGGAAGAGUUGAAGAGGCUCUGAAGGUGCUGCAAGAUAUGAUGAGUGGGAAGUUUUGUACCCCUGAUGCAGUGACCUAUACGACAGUCAUAGGUGGUUUGCUGGAAGUUGGGAGGGAUGAAGAAGCUCUUCAACUAUUGCAUAAUACAAUGCCUAUGAACGGCAUUACUCCCGGUGUUGUGACCUACAACACUACUCUCCACGGGCUCUUCAAGAUGCAUAGGGUUGAUGAUGCCAUGGAGAUGUUCAACCGCAUGAUCAGCCACAGCAUUGCUGCUGAUUGCACAACUUACACUAUUAUAAUUGAUGGGUUAUUCGAGUCAAAGAGAAUAGAUGAAGCUAAACGCAUCUGGGAUGACAUUGUAUGGCCUUCAAGAGUUCACGACAGCUACGUGUAUUCUGCCAUUCUUAAAGGGAUCUGCCGCUCAGGAAGAGUAGAAGAAGCCUGUGACUUCUUAUAUGAGUUGGUAGACUGUGGGGUUACUCUGUGCCAUGUGAAUUACAACAUUGUCAUUGAUGGUGCUUGCAAGUUAGGGUUGAAGAAAGAAGCAUAUCAGAUUCUUGGAGAAAUGAGGAAGAAUGGGCUUGCUCCAGAUGCUGUAACAUGGAGAAUUCUGGAUAAAUUGCAUGGAAAAAGAGGAAUGCAAUUCUGUGACUCUGAGGAUUUAACCCUGCAAUCCCAAGAACCACUAGUGAAUUGAAUCAGUGCAAGAAUUUGCAGUGGCAAAGGAGAGUUUGGCCAUGAAGAUGAGUAUGUGUUGUCAAAUCCUUAUCACUUGGGAAUAGAAGUAGCAGAAAAGGGGAUUGAGGCUGCAGAGAAAGGAUUUAUCAAGGGAAUAGAAGAGAGUGAAACAACGUCUCUUGUAAGGCUUUCUUUGUCAGGCCACCAUUGUUUACUUUAUUGAUGGUUCUUCAUUCAGAAAGAAGGGCUUUGGAAGCAGCAAGCCAGCAAUGGCUGUUCCCGCUCUCCUGAGGAAAAGACAGAAGAGCUGGAGGAAGCCAGAGGUGAACGAUGCUCGGCCUUCCAGGUUGGUGAAGCAGGCCUUUCUUUGAUUCU